UUUUAGGUAUGAGCCUUGCAAGAAGACAUACAUAUUUUGCUGAUUGCCAAGGGGAUAAUGCAUUGGGUAUAAGAAGAAGGAAAGUAGAGGAACCAAUUAAGAAAUAUUUACUACAAUUAAGAAGAGAUGAUAAUAACUUCGACCAAGGUGGAGGCUAUGAAGAUGGAGCAAUGCGAAUACAUGGAGACAUGUUUUUGAUGUAGACUCAGCAAGAAAUUCUAAUAUAUUAGAUUUUAUGUUUUGGGAGAAAAAGAGACAUCUCCAAGAUUAUGGCUUGAAUAGAUUGGGACUAAUAGUGAAACUUGAGAGUGAUCACAUAUGGAGAUGAAAGAUUGAAAGACCUCUCGCUGAACAUAAUAUAGAAGGUCUAAAAUACUCUCAAGUCCCCUCCAUCUCAAAAUGACAGCAGUAACAGUGAAAACUAAACAUAGCUGUACCAAGGUCUUUAUGUGGCUAUUGCUUUGAAGACAAAGAAUAACGAAGAUUGAGCCCAGCAUCUUGCUAUUAAGGAAAAGUGAGUUCUUUUCCUUCUCUCAUAAACUAAAUUAGGCCAAAUAAAUAUUGUAUUUCCCUUGUUUACCUAUUUUUUGUUCAUCUUACAAAUAUGGCAAGUCUAGGGCUACAAAUCAA
This 630-nucleotide long non-coding RNA is filed under the name Homo sapiens (human). Its description in RNAcentral is "HSALNT0108788". Lineage: Eukaryota; Metazoa; Chordata; Mammalia; Primates; Hominidae. The record is from RNAcentral.